Molecule: ribosomal RNA, 1375 nt
Filed under: Escherichia coli
Lineage: Bacteria; Pseudomonadati; Pseudomonadota; Gammaproteobacteria; Enterobacterales; Enterobacteriaceae
Description: partial 23S ribosomal RNA
Rfam family: Bacterial large subunit ribosomal RNA
Source: RNAcentral
ACUACGGUGCUGAAGCGACAAAUGCCCUGCUUCCAGGAAAAGCCUCUAAGCAUCAGGUAACAUUAAAUCGUACCCCAAACCGACACAGGUGGUCAGGUAGAGAAUACCAAGGCGCUUGAGAGAACUCGGGUGAAGGAACUAGGCAAAAUGGUGCCGUAACUUCGGGAGAAGGCACGCUGAUAUGUAGGUGAAGCGACUUGCUCGUGGAGCUGAAAUCAGUCGAAGAUACCAGCUGGCUGCAACUGUUUAUUAAAAACACAGCACUGUGCAAACACGAAAGUGGACGUAUACGGUGUGACGCCUGCCCGGUGCCGGAAGGUUAAUUGAUGGGGUUAGCGGUAACGCGAAGCUCUUGAUCGAAGCCCCGGUAAACGGCGGCCGUAACUAUAACGGUCCUAAGGUAGCGAAAUUCCUUGUCGGGUAAGUUCCGACCUGCACGAAUGGCGUAAUGAUGGCCAGGCUGUCUCCACCCGAGACUCAGUGAAAUUGAACUCGCUGUGAAGAUGCAGUGUACCCGCGGCAAGACGGAAAGACCCCGUGAACCUUUACUAUAGCUUGACACUGAACAUUGAGCCUUGAUGUGUAGGAUAGGUGGGAGGCUUUGAAGUGUGGACGCCAGUCUGCAUGGAGCCGACCUUGAAAUACCACCCUUUAAUGUUUGAUGUUCUAACGUGGGCCCCUUACCGGGGUUGCGGACAGUGUCUGGUGGGUAGUUUGACUGGGGCGGUCUCCUCCUAAAGAGUAACGGAGGAGCACGAAGGUUGGCUAAUCCUGGUCGGACAUCAGGAGGUUAGUGCAAUGGCAUAAGCCAGCUUGACUGCGAGCGUGACGGCGCGAGCAGGUGCGAAAGCAGGUCAUAGUGAUCCGGUGGUUCUGAAUGGAAGGGCCAUCGCUCAACGGAUAAAAGGUACUCCGGGGAUAACAGGCUGAUACCGCCCAAGAGUUCAUAUCGACGGCGGUGUUUGGCACCUCGAUGUCGGCUCAUCACAUCCUGGGGCUGAAGUAGGUCCCAAGGGUAUGGCUGUUCGCCAUUUAAAGUGGUACGCGAGCUGGGUUUAGAACGUCGUGAGACAGUUCGGUCCCUAUCUGCCGUGGGCGCUGGAGAACUGAGGGGGGCUGCUCCUAGUACGAGAGGACCGGAGUGGACGCAUCACUGGUGUUCGGGUUGUCAUGCCAAUGGCACUGCCCGGUAGCUAAAUGCGGAAGAGAUAAGUGCUGAAAGCAUCUAAGCACGAAACUUGCCCCGAGAUGAGUUCUCCCUGACUCCUUGAGAGUCCUGAAGGAACGUUGAAGACGACGACGUUGAUAGGCCGGGUGUGUAAGCGCAGCGAUGCGUUGAGCUAACCGGUACUAAUGAACCGUGAGGCUUAACCUU